RNAcentral lists this ribosomal RNA (484 nucleotides) under uncultured bacterium. Its description in RNAcentral is "partial 16S ribosomal RNA". It matches the Rfam family "Bacterial small subunit ribosomal RNA", at positions 28 to 507 of the family's 1533-position model. The record is from RNAcentral.
AUUGAACGCUGGCGGCAUGCUUUACACAUGCAAGUCGAACGGCAGCGCGGGCUUCGGCCUGGCGGCGAGUGGCGAACGGGUGUGUAAUGCAUCGGAACGUGCCCAGUAGUGGGGGAGAGCCCGGCGAAAGCCGGGUUAAUACUGCAUACGACCUGAGGGUGCAAGCGGGGGAGCGAAAGGCCUCGCGCGAGUGGAGCGGCCGACGUGGGGUUUGCUAGUUGGUGGGGGAAAGGCUUACCAAGGCGGCGAUCCGUAGCUGGUCUGAGAGGACGACCGGCCACCUGGGGAGGGGGACAGGGACAAGGGGACUAAGGGAGGGAGCAGUCGGGAACGUGGGGCAGUGGGGGCAACCAUUGUCCAGCCGGGCGGAGUGCGGGAAAAAGGCCUCCGGGUUGUAAACCGGUUUUGUGCGGGAAGAACCGCUCUGGGCUAAUACCCCGGGGGGAUGACGGUACCGGAAGAAUAAGCACCGGCUAACUACGUG